Molecule: transfer RNA, 82 nt
Organism: Lottia gigantea (owl limpet)
Lineage: Eukaryota; Metazoa; Mollusca; Gastropoda; Lottiidae
Rfam family: tRNA
About the family: Transfer RNA (tRNA) molecules are approximately 80 nucleotides in length.
Source: Rfam
GGUAGAGUGGCCGAGCGGUCUAAGGCGCUGGUUUUAGGCACCAGUCUCUUCCGAGGCGUGGGUUCGAAUCCCACCUCUGCCA